UUACCGGCUAGUGACAGGCUUAAGGGAAACUGAGGACAAAGAAUCAGUACCUUUAGAAGGGUGUGAAACCAAAGCAUACAGAAAAGGCAGGUUGGAUUAAUGACCACCUUCCUAACAAUAACAGCCUUUAUCUAGGAGCUCAGAGACUGGAAUGUCUUAACCACACAGCUUCCUGGAACUAUUUUUACUUUGUAUUUUACAAGAGGAGAAAGAGCAGAAGCGUCUUAGAUAAACAACAAGGUUUGGGCUCAGC
RNAcentral lists this long non-coding RNA (253 nucleotides) under Homo sapiens (human). RNAcentral describes it as "non-protein coding lnc-SCMH1-2:1". The record is from RNAcentral. Lineage: Eukaryota; Metazoa; Chordata; Mammalia; Primates; Hominidae.